RNAcentral lists this ribosomal RNA (274 nucleotides) under uncultured prokaryote. RNAcentral's name for it is "partial 16S ribosomal RNA". It matches the Rfam family "Bacterial small subunit ribosomal RNA", at positions 524 to 798 of the family's 1533-position model. The record is from RNAcentral.
UACGUAGGGGCAAGCGUUGUCCGGAAUUAUUGGGCGUAAAGCGCGCGCAGGCGGUCCUUUAAGUCUGAUGUGAAAGCCCACGGCUUAACCGUGGAGGGUCAUUGGAAACUGGUCGACUUGAGUGCAGAAGAGGGAAGUGGAAUUCCAUGUGUAGCGGUGAAAUGCGUAGAGAUAUGGAGGAACACCAGUGGCGAAGGCGGCUUCCUGGUCUGUAACUGACACUGAGGCGCGAAAGCGUGGGGAGCAAACAGGAUUAGAUACCCCGGUAGUCCCU